Non-coding RNA from Lutzomyia longipalpis, 209 nucleotides. The record is from Rfam. Lineage: Eukaryota; Metazoa; Arthropoda; Insecta; Diptera; Psychodidae.
UAAAAGGGCCCUCAGUAGUCAGUAUUGGGGUUACCCGCUAACCCCAAACUACUAACCUGACGUAUGCUGGAUCACCUGAUUGGUGUGGGAAUUGCAUCCAAUGUGGUGCAUCCCCAUCACAGGGGGUUGGGUAUGGAGCAUCAAGACAUACCCAGGGUGUAAUUUUUGUACCCGCGGGACAGUUAUUGCGCAAAUGCAACGACGUCCCC